UCUGUCUUUGGCGAGAUGAAAGGGCUCAGCCAGCUACAGAAUGCCUCCACCAGCAUCAGGCUUCCAGUGAAUCACAUCAAAAGCCUCCCUGCCAGGGCUAGCCCCUUCCAGCUGGGGGCAGAUGGGCUCAUUAGAAGCAGGAAGAGUACGUUGUUUACAUUAGGUGGUGCUGAUUUACAAGCGAGGAGCUGCCAUUUUCUUCAGCACCGCUCAGGAGAGCCCUCCACUUGCCCAGAAUGGCUCCUUUGAAGCUGCACAGCAUACAGAAAAGGAGCUUAAGAAUUCUAGCCAUCCAGAUCUCAAACAGCGAAUCCUCAAUGCAGGCAAGUUGAAGAGAAAUCAGUCGCCUCAGCAAAGACAUGGAGAGAGCUGUUCGGUGCGCAUCAAUCAGUGGAGUCAGAUCUCGGGCUGUCUCAGGAUGAUGGAGCUUAAGGAGAUGAUGGAACUUUCAUGGCUCUCUGGUUAUCUUUGUGAUUCUGUGUCUGCCUGUGCUUCAUCUGGGAGAAUGGUAAUGCCACCACGAGCCUUGUCCUCAGCAAGCAGAAUGACCAGCUGGUGGUUUGAAGAAGACCUGACAGCGCACUUUAGUGAGUCUAAGAGUAUCUUGCACCCAGGAGUAUCAACCAUCAACCAACCCUGUGUGUAAAGCAGUGGACCAGGUCCUGGAGAAAUCAAGCCGGAAGAGAAAGUGAGAUUCUUCUGGAAGUUGAAGGAGUGAGAACACACGCAGGAAGAUGCUGUUGGCCUGAUAGUGAAAUUCAUUUGUACGUGGCUGCGUUCCCCUAACUUCCCUAUCUGGAGGCCCCACGUCUCUGCUAAACUCUCUGAGCUGGGUCUGCAGGGAGCUGGGAUGCAAGAGCAACUGCUGUGCCCACGCAAUUAAACAAGAAUGCUCCAUCUGACAGUUCCACUGUGAAAGUUUUCAAAUAGUGUUGGGAAUGUUUACAUAAUUGUUCAAAAGAGGCUUUUUCAAUGUACCUGUUUACACGCUUUACUUUUGGAAAUUCUUUCAGCAAUCAGGCCUUGGAGAGCUCUCAGCCUGUACUUGCCACCCUUGAUUGCCGAGGGAGGAAUGAAAGGCCUGUCAGUGAAUCGCUGGGAAAACAUUCCCUAACAAACGCCCUCUAAUGAGGGGGUGCUGAGAGCAGAGGGGAAGAGCUGGGGGGCCGGGAACAGGACGGUGGAGGUUUUGUUGUGGAGCCUUUUGGUGAAGGGAGCUCCAGACACCGUGCCUUUGUGUGCAAAUUUCCCACUGGGGCCAAGCGACUUUCCACAGUUUAAUUAAGUGGCUUUAGAGUAGUCCCGGAGUUGGCCUAACAAGCUACUCUUCAUGAAUGAAAGAUUUGUCCCCAGCAUUGGGGGCCGGGCUGGAAACAAAGUGGGCAGCAGUUAUGGCUGGCUCCGGCCGAUUUAAGUGCUUGCACGGCCGCUUGCCCGGGCGUGGCUGGGGUAGGCAGCUGCAGUAGUUGGCGUCAGUCCUUCUGGGACUCGUCUCACCUAGCUCACAGCAAAUAUGCCAGCCAUAUGCCCAGGAUCACAACCGAAUCAGCUCCAUCAGGCCUGGCAAAGAGGCAUUUAAAUUGCUAAUAUUGUACCAGGGAGGGAUGACAGCCCUGCCAAGGAUCAGCUCUGUAGGAUCCACAGAGACAAACCUGGGAGGUUCGGAAGGAGCUGCAGUGAGAAACACUAGAAGCUGGCUGUUAGGAGGCAGAAGAGGGGAUCCUUAGCAGAGAGACAUGGGGAGAAACCAUGGGGGGCCGUGUACUCAGGAUGUGGCAAUGGAGCUGGUGGGCCACCCGGGGCCCCUUUCUCAUCCAUUAUUUCUGAUAAAGGUCCAGCUGUAGUUUCCAUAAGGCUGCUUUGCAGGGGGAGGCCUCUUCCUCACCUUAGAACAAAAGAGGUUUUCUAGAAUGACCAAAAAAAAAAAAUUAUGAUGCAGGCUGGGUAGAAGAAGGGAGGGCCAGCCCUAGCCGUGAAAUGCUCCCUCAGCUACGCUUGUUGAAUAGCCCUGCGUUUGGCCAUGGUCCAUCCAGUAGGUUUGGGAUCUGGGGUCUUUCAGAGCCACUUUCCAGUGGAGGGUUCACUGAAUGUUUUUCUCUGACUGUAUUUUUAGAAAAAAUUAUGAUGACAGUUGUUAGGUCUCAGGCAGGCAGGCAGCACAUUCCAUUACAAAGUUAGCAUGAAAUCAAUAUGUAAAUAACCCUUUCUAACUGGCAGCUAUUUUUGAAGGCAGAACGCACCUGAUGUUGCAGGUUUGUUCCAGUUUACUUUAAAUACCUCUCCGUCCUCUGGGUCUUCGAAUGUGCUCACAUUCAAAAGAUCUUUCCUCCUUUUCACUUGAUCUUUGCUUCAUCUGGGAGAAUGGUAAUGCCACCACGAGCCUUGUCCUCAAACCUCCUCCAUCCUCUAAGAAUCAGAUCAACAAGACCCAUUGCAGGCUGGGAGUGCUAGUUCCCCUUCAGCGUGGUCAUUUUUCAAAAGCAUGGAUUGCUUCAGGAAGGGACAGGGUGGCAGAAGCCUUGGACAGACACGGAAGGAAUUAAAAGAGAGAGAAAGCCCGAAAGGCUGAGAUCAGGGUUGAAUCCAAAAUUCACACAUCACUGCCCAAUGCACAGAAGUCACUGCUAGGACAUAAAAGGUCAGAGGAUCCCAGCCAUGGGAGGGACCAGGUUAUAACUGCGGCUCUAGCUCAACAAGAAGAAACAGGUCUUGAGGUACUCCUGAGGGAGUAAGGAGCCCAAAGGUCUUUGAAAAGUCCCUCCUUAAUAGUGAGUUUUUAUAGUUGUUUGACUUUUAAGUAGCUGUGCUCUGUGCAUAUGUACUAAAAACAGAAAUACUUCUGGAAUGUUCGGUGUCAGGUAUGGAUGGUGCCUGAAAGCCCACUAUGGCUUGUGGAGUGUGUGUGUGUGUGUGUGUGUGCGCGCGCGCACGCUUCUUUUCUGAAGUUCAAGCAGGGACCUGGUAAUAGUAAUGAUUGCUACAAUUAAUUGAGCACCUACAUGCCACUUCCUUUUUUGUAAGUGUUAUGGGCUUGAACAGUUUUGAAGUCUUAUUGUUGAGCUGAAUCCACCUUCCUGUAACUUAUGUCCAUGACCUUACACCCUAAGGCUUCAUCUUCAGUUAGAAUAGUCCUCAAGACAUGUGGUAUCUCUCUCUGAGACUACUCUUCUCCAGGCUAAAUAUUUUCCAUUCUUCCAUAGUUGUUCUCUCCCCCAAGUAGAUUUCAUCAGGCCCAAUUGUUGCCUCCAUGUCCUUGCCAUUUGGUGAGUCUCUGGAGGGAAUCAGGGUCAAAUACUCCUUUUGAGACUUUUUUAGUGUCUAAAUACAAAAAGAAUAUCUCCUGGUUGAAAAGGGUGCAUUUGGGAUGAAGCUUUAACUUUUUUAGUUCAUGGAGCUCUGCACUUUUAUUGUGUAAGGGUGGUCAGGUGAACUAGCAAUUCGCCCUGUUAUCUCUGGGUCCGUAGGACCACUGGGGAUGGGGAGUUAUUACCAGAAAGCCCUGUUUCCGCUUGGUGUAAAGAAAGAUUUUCUAAUGAAAAGAAGCAUACAAUGGCAGACAGUGCUUUAAGUGGCAACGAGUGUCCUAAAAACUGGAGGUGUCUCAGCAAAGGUGGGUACUGCAGAUGUCACUUGCCCACUGAGUCGAGGCUUCCACAAAUGGCUCCUAAGGCACCUUCUGACUCCGGGAUUCUGGUUUCUCACUCACACAUUUACUGAACCAGCUGCAAGGUGCUGUGAGGGGAUUCACACUUGGUAUGAACAGUGGGAAGAGGAACUAUUUUUUUUAUUGCAGCAAAAUACACAUAAAAUUUACCAUCUUAACCAUUUUAACUAUAUAGUUCAGUGGCAUUAACUACAUUCAAAUUGCUGUGCAACCAUCACCACCAUCCAUCCAUAGAACUGAAACUAUAUCCAUUAAAUGACAACUCCCCAUUUUCCAUUCACCCCAUCCCUGACAACCACCAUUCUACUUUCUAUCUCUAUAUAUCUGACUAUCUUUAUGUACUUCAUAUAAGCAGAAUGAUUCAGUAUUUGUCUUUUUGUGUCUAGAUUAUUUCACUUAGCAUAUUAUUCAACCAUGUUGCCAUGUAUGUCACAUUUUCUUUCCUCUUUAAGA
This is a non-coding RNA of Manis javanica (Malayan pangolin), 4117 nucleotides long. The record is from RefSeq and is a predicted model, not a curated record. Lineage: Eukaryota; Metazoa; Chordata; Mammalia; Pholidota; Manidae.